UGGGAAGUCUGCUAUGGAAAUCUGCUUACC
Molecule: non-coding RNA, 30 nt
Filed under: Homo sapiens (human)
Lineage: Eukaryota; Metazoa; Chordata; Mammalia; Primates; Hominidae
Source: RNAcentral